This 853-nucleotide ribosomal RNA is filed under the name Arthrobacter sp. Its description in RNAcentral is "bacterial SSU rRNA". It matches the Rfam family "Bacterial small subunit ribosomal RNA", at positions 583 to 1433 of the family's 1533-position model. The record is from RNAcentral. Lineage: Bacteria; Bacillati; Actinomycetota; Actinomycetes; Micrococcales; Micrococcaceae.
UCGCGUCUGCCGUGAAAGUCCGGGGCUUAACUCCGGAUCUGCGGUGGGUACGGGCAGACUAGAGUGCAGUAGGGGAGACUGGAAUUCCUGGUGUAGCGGUGAAAUGCGCAGAUAUCAGGAGGAACACCGAUGGCGAAGGCAGGUCUCUGGGCUGUAACUGACGCUGAGGAGCGAAAGCAUGGGGAGCGAACAGGAUUAGAUACCCUGGUAGUCCAUGCCGUAAACGUUGGGCACUAGGUGUGGGGGACAUUCCACGUUUUCCGCGCCGUAGCUAACGCAUUAAGUGCCCCGCCUGGGGAGUACGGCCGCAAGGCUAAAACUCAAAGGAAUUGACGGGGGCCCGCACAAGCGGCGGAGCAUGCGGAUUAAUUCGAUGCAACGCGAAGAACCUUACCAAGGCUUGACAUGAACCGGAAUGAUGCAGAGAUGUGUCAGCCACUUGUGGCCGGUUUACAGGUGGUGCAUGGUUGUCGUCAGCUCGUGUCGUGAGAUGUUGGGUUAAGUCCCGCAACGAGCGCAACCCUCGUUCCAUGUUGCCAGCGGGUUAUGCCGGGGACUCAUGGGAGACUGCCGGGGUCAACUCGGAGGAAGGUGGGGACGACGUCAAAUCAUCAUGCCCCUUAUGUCUUGGGCUUCACGCAUGCUACAAUGGCCGGUACAAAGGGUUGCGAUACUGUGAGGUGGAGCUAAAGAGAAAAAUCCUGGCUCAGUUCGGACUGAGGUCUGCAACUCGACCUCAUGAAGUUGGAGUCGCUAGUAAUCGCAGAUCAGCAACGCUGCGGUGAAUACGUUCCCGGGCCUUGUACACACCGCCCGUCAAGUCACGAAAGUUGGUAACACCCGAAGCCGGUGG